GCACUCAAAAGCAUUUGCAAGGGGAAUCCCAAACCGUUAGGACACAAACUCGUGCUGGGUUCUAUUACGGCCUUGCAGGUAGGACGUUGCUGUGUUUUAGAGUAUCCUGAAAAUUUCAACAGGGAUAUAGGGGGAAAAAAAUAAAUCAUUGUUCUGUGUUUGGAAACUAAGCUGUGUUCUAUGUAGUAAGCACCCAUCUUAACCCUGCUGGAGCAGAACAACACCCCUUUUCUAGCAGAAACCAGAGUUGUUGUUAAUUAAUGUCUUGCUGAAAACUAAGUCUUUGCCAUCUGUUCCGCCCCCUCACUACGAAUGCCACUCUCAUUAUGUUGAUUAUGUAAUUAAAAAUGAAAAUAUAUUUUGGUAGAGUGCUGCAUAGGCAUCUGUGCUGAUUCUUCUGUUCCUAUUCACUGCCCCCUGCCCCCCAGCCCAUACAAAAAGGAAAAGACAACAAUUGUUUGGCUCGCCAGGAGCUUUAUGCUGAAGCUGUGGCACUGGCUGCCAGACUGGUGCACGUCAUGGGAGCAGCCACUUGAACCCUGCUGUGUUUGAGCUGCGUGUCCUUCAGAAACCCUGGUUAUUAGGUUCAUGAGAAAUCCGUGGCAGGAAGCUGCCCCUUAAACUGAAGCGGCUUUAAGUUCUUGUGAUGGGUUAACUUGAAUCCAGAUCAAGAAAAGUGAAAAAGAAAAGAGGCCUGGCUACUUUAUAAGUGAUAGCGUGACCUCCGAGAUGAGCGAGGCUGCUCGUUUUACAAAUAUGGCCUAUGUCUAAGGGUGGAGGAAGAGAAAAAGAGGAGGGGUAGCUUUCCUGUAAGCGGGUUAGAGCAAUUACUGAGGUCUCUUACAGCAAAUGAAGUUGUCAGUGUGAGUCACAUUCCCUUUUUUCCCUCUCCCUGCCAAGUUUUAAGCAGUAACCAGACAGAGAGGGAAAAAAAAGGGAAAAGUAACAAUGGAGAAAAGUUGAACUGAAACAACCCUUCAUUCAGGGUAUUGUUUGACAUUUUAGUUCUGAUUGUACAUAGAGAUAAAGGGUCUAUAAAUAUCCUGUCUGCUGAAAUUCCUUAUCACAACAUCGCCUGUCAGCUGAACAAAUAGGUUAGGUUCUCCAAAUACUACCUAAUUACAUAUGUAAAUACAAAAUUACUGAUUAUAUCCCUGCACCACGUGGAAUGAAGGCCUGCUCACUGGAAGGGACGUUAACCUUGUCUGUCUUACUGGGAGAUGCCCCAGCCUCAGGAGAGCAAACGGCACAUACAGCUGUUGCUGCUGAAUUGGUGCAAGCUCCAAGACCAGACUGAGCGAAGCAACAAGAUAUUUAUCUGGCUAACGAGACUAGAUGAAAGCAUCUUCUGAUGCUUUUGAAAGUAUCUUAGCAUUUAGUUCUGUUUAACAAAUGGCUGGAAGCUUUUCUACUCUGCUUUAGAGCUUUUAAUGAAGCAUUGUGAUUCCCAUUGUGGUUGAUUGUUUGACACUCUUAUUAUUACUGGUAUGCAUAGCGUUUUUUAAUGUUUGACAGCUGGAGAAAGAAGUAUUUUGUGCAUUCAAACUUUUAGUACAAAGCUGCUGUUUUCCAUUCUGCCUUUGCCUUUGUCUUUUAUUCUUGCUGAUGCAAAUCAACGAAAGACAGAACUGAUGAAAUUACGUUUGUUUACUUUUUACUUGAUAAUAAGACACAGCCAGCCUUUUAUAAAAGACAGAAAUAGGGGAUGUGAAUGUUUCUACAGUAUUUCUAGAAAUGUUUUUUUUUUUCUUACAAUAUAAAGGCAUUUAUUUGUUUCAUGUGUCUUGAUUUAUAAGAUAAUGUGCACUUCCUAAUGCAUGUGGAAUAAGAAUGGAGCAAUGAAUGACGGUUAGCAAUGGAUUCCAUUUGAAAAGCUCAUAGCUUGUUGUUUUUCUUAAUUCAACAGUAUAAAUGAUCAUAGCACAUCACAAGAUAAACACACUAAGAUACCUCUGUCCUUCACAGUAGGACUGCCUCUGAUCGUUAUUGCGUAUUUGUUAUAUAGCUAUACAAAAAUCCACCCCAUCAGCUUUGGCUUUACACACAUGUAAUUGUUACUGGCUUUGAUACAUUUGUAUGAUACUGGAAAGAAACAAUCACUGAGAGGCAGGGCUGCAGAAAUCAGAUACCCAUGGUUGUUUUGGCGAUGCCUCACUAAAAAGGGCAUGAAAUGAGCAUGGUCUGAUCAAGAAAGAUGCCCGGACAGGUGAAGGGAGGCAAUCCAGCAAUGCCAGUCCACACAGCAGAGAAGGGAAUGAACUGCUGCGGGACUGCAGGAGCCCAGGAGAGUGUUGUCAUGGGUAAGGGUAGUGGGAGAGGAACCAAGAAGGAAACAGGAUGUGUUCAGAAUGACUGCAGAAUGCUGCUGCAACGAGCAAGCACAGAGACAGCGCUGGAAUACGGAGCCAUGGUCCCAUCUUGCUAAUCCAGCUCUCAAAGGGUUUUUCUAAUGUAUCCACGUAGCAGGCCUGGAAGGGGGAGUCCUGUUUAUCUCCAUUAUUUAGGUAUACAUUUCUCCAAAUUGGGAUUUGAUAAGAGGACAGCUGCUGCAUUUUUAUUAUUUGAGACAAGCGGCAGUAAAAGCUGUUCAGAGCUCACGAUGGAAAUGUAUCCGCAUAUUGGCACUUAUCCAGCUGCACUUCACAAAGGUAAAUGGGAUGUGAGAGUGGUAUGCUGCCCCCUUUUAAUCCAUUUUCUAUAGAAGGGGGUACUUUGCUUCUCUGCGGGAAAGGCCAGCACAGCUACUGUGCUAAUAAACGCUCAUUUCUCACUGCAGCAUAUGGGCUUCCCAGACUCAUAAAUCCAGGCAAUUUGUAGUUGAAUUACAAUUAAAUAUCCACACACAUUUCCAUACCAUGGUCUGGUGCACAAGGCAUAGGCCUAAGUGGCUGGACAUCUGCUGUCUGCUCUCCCAUACGUAGUGUUUGGCAGAACAUAAUUGCUUAAUUUUACUCUACCUCCAUUAACAGUACCUGUAAAAUAGGAUGCAGAGCAUCAUCCUACAGAUGUUUUGGCGUAUUCUUCAAGAAGAGUAGCACUUUCUUUCUUCCUCUUUUUUUCUUCCAUUUAAAAAAAAUAAAUAUAUUUUUAAGCACCUCUUAUUGUCAAAUAAUCAGAAAUACUUUUCAAUGCUGUUGAUCAUUCAGUCAAAGGAUUUCCAGGUCAGGCGUUCAGUUUGGCUCUAAUGACAGUGGGAAAUGAGACAUCAUAUUAAAAACUUAGUUGAGAUGCAGGACACUCAUAGAUCCUCUCAACAAUUUAGUGUCAUUUGUACAAGACCCAGAGACUCAGUAAUGCAAUAAGAUAAAUGUAGUGCUUGAUUACAAUGGAUGUAUUGCACUUAAAAAGGCAUUUUAUUGUUAGGCUCUGCAUAUCUAAAGUAAUAACCACUGUAUGUCAGGCAAGACAAUGGUAAAGUAAGCCAGAUAAUUUUCCCAUUGUUAAAACUUUCAAAAUCCAAAAAGCUAUAAAUGUCUUAAUUACGUUCAAUUUAGCUAGAUCUAGUGCUGGUGGCUGGAGGGAACAUCUUUCUGAGGUUCAGUCUUUCCCCUGGUCUAACUGAUAACAUUUAAAACUCUGCCACUUACACUGUUACAGCUAUUUAAAGAAGAAUUAUAUGUAGUCAUUACCCAUCUUGAGUUUCCUUGCAGCAGGGUUAACAUAUGAAACUGCAGUUUAGUUGUUCUCCUUUGUCCCAGGAAGCUUGAACAAAGAUAAAGAGUCUGCCCAGAGCUCAACCAGCAUCCUUCAGUGCUGAAGCUCUGUGAGGCCAAGGGCUGUCUUCUGCACUGUUGUAUAGUUACCUAACAAAAUGCUUAUUCCCUGUGGAUUUGGGAGAAACUUUGAAUUUUGCCCCCUUGACUCCAACCCCAUGUGUCUGUCAGCUUCCGACUAAGUUCUAGCCACGAUCACAAGAACAUCCUAAAUCAGUCUCAGUAGUUUGUAUUUCCUUACCAAAGAUCUUAUCUGCUGUGGGUGCAAGUUGCACCAUAGUGCUGGUGUUCAAAAUUUUUCACCCUUCUGUUUCACAGCUCUGCCUUUUCAGUCUAGGUUAAUUUAUCUAGAAGAAUUGAGACAAAGCUGUCCAGUGAGAAAGGCCGUGCAGCGAGACAGCAGUGCUCUGAGCAUCUGCACAAUUUGUAUAUUUGAUUCGGUACCUCCGCACUUGCAGGUUAUUGUUGGUCCUACUUUUGCCGUUUUCUUAUAAGGCUCUGUGCUGCAUCAGUGUGGAUGUUCAUUCUCUGUAUACCUAUGUUCUUCACAAAAUGACAAAUGCUGAUAGUAAAAAUUACAUUUGCUCAUUAAAAGAUAUCGCUACUUAUAUAUCACAGAUAUAUAUCUGUGUAUAUAUAUAUGCUGGGGUCCAGUGACCUAAUGAGAGGUGUGGCUUGGAUUUCAGUGGGACAUGAGCUGGGCGUCGAAAUCUGCUUCUCACAUGAGUAUUCCCCUGAUACAUAUCAUGAAAACCUUCUUCUGUUUAUAAUGACAGAUGCCACAGGGGGUUAUAUAUUUGGAUAUAUAUAUAUUUUUUUUCGUAGUGUUUAUUAUCAAAUGCUUGCAAGUUCUAUGAUGUGGUAAAAACUCUCUCUCUGGAUAAACAGGAAGCACUCAGAGGUAUUGCAUUACCCACGUAACGCAACACAGAUUCCAACAGCUUGGCUCUUUUUUUCAACAUACUGUGACACCACUUCCUUCAGGAAAUCUCUUGUCUGCAGAGCUCAUUUCUGCUAUAGAUAUGCAAAACUGCAAUAAUUGGUUGUUUUAAAAACGCAUGUUGAUUUGCCAGUUUCAGACUGUGGAAACUGAUGUUUAAUUGAUAUAAUGUCUUUAAAAAUAUGCAAUGCAGACUCUUAGGGCUCUUAGGUCAGUGGGCUGACCAAAGUGCAAGGAGCAGUGACUGACACCAUCCCUCCCACAGGUGCACUGGUGCAGCUUAGAGAGCAACGAUGCAGAUUUUCCCUGCAGGAACCUGAAAUGUGUCUCAGCUGUAAAUCUGGAGGAGCCUCUUCUGCAGUCCUGCCACACAGUGUCAGCAAGGCCUGGGUCUGCCCUGUACAGGGUGAACGGCAGUCCUGGUUCCAGUCAGGUCUUAUCUGCCAAGGCUAGCAACAAAAAAAACUAAGUAUGUCUGUUCAUAUGUGGACACCUGUAUUCAGAAUAGCUGUGCCAAGGCAGCGUGAUGGAUCAGUAUUGGCUGAAUUUUGAACCCCAGUGGCGUUUAUGUGGAAAUCUCAGAAUGCCGUAAGUGUACUGUUUCCUGUGUCUUGUUUCUGUUCAGCCAGUGCCCAUCGCUUAGACUAAGCGUGACAACAGCAGACAGUUGGAAUUAUAUUUGUGCCACCACAAAAUCCUUAGAUACGUGUUUGUAACAAACCACCCAAAGUGACAACAUCACUUUAAAGGAAGUCCUAGUAAGGUCUUGUUUGAAGGUUUAGUAUCAUUUCCCAGACUGGUUCUCAGUGAAGGGACUUCUGUGUCUGCCAAGUGCUUUAUUUGCACAAGCCAGAUGCAAUUGGGUGUAGAUAUCAGGACUGAUGCUUUCUCCUCUGCCCUCAGCUAUAAGCAAGAAAUACUGAAAACAGAGUUGCUGCAAUAUCUAGACAGCAUAAAACCUCAGUGAUCCUGUUUCUACGUUCUUUAACUUCCUCCUUUGUUGGAGGCAUCACUUGUCCUGCCAACAGCUGAACUGAGAACAAGUGGGGGAAAGAGUACAUAUUUUAGGGUUUGUAAAUCAUCAGAUUGUGAGGUUUUCUAACAAUCUUGUCUCUUUUCUGUAUUUUACUGUAUUUGCCUAACAAUCAGUGAUUUCAGAAAUAGAUCAAGAGACUGAUAUUACACGCUAGCUAAAUCAAUUUUGUAAAAACAUAAUAGCUUUUUUCAGUGCAUAAAGCAUAGGCACAAGAGAAAUGUUAAUGUAGCAGGAUUUCAGCGACAUCCUCACAAGUCACUCUAACAUUCCAUCUAAAUACUGGCUGUGCAUGUGUUUUGUUUUGCCAGUCCUGUAGAAUAACUUUGUCUUGUUCAAUUCUUUUAUCAUCUGUAGCUUGUUUACUGAAUUUUAAGUCUUGGGCGAGAUGAAUCAAGCUCAUGAAGAGAAGUUGGUUUUCAAAAGAUACAAGCUCCAGAUAACUGAGGACAAGUAAAGCACACAACAAUAUUGAAAUCACUCAGUUUUAUUGCAGCUGACUGAGACAGAGCGUGCUUUGAAGCUGGGAAAUUUCCAUUACUGAAGUGCAGGACAGUGCCUGGAUACUGCUGCUACUGCAGUUGAGAAAUAAAAGCAACUUAAUUUUACUUAACAGCAAAAUAUCAGUAUAUUAGUUUAAAUUGUUAGAAUUAUAUAAGCUUUUAAAGUUGCUGUAAAAUGGAUCCCUUCUAAAACAUUCAGAAUACAGUUUUAAACUUCUUGUAUGAAACUAAAUAACACAAAAAUGAGUUGAAAUUGUACCUGAGCUUUCAAACUAUAUCAUAUUUGUGAACAGCAAAUCUAACAAGAACUUGAUAGAUAAUACAUCCCUUACAAUGUGACAGCGACGGAAUGAUAUCCAGUGCAAAAUCAAGGCUGUUUCUGACAGAGUAGUUCUGCAAUUAAUAAUCCUUUGUGCGCCCCUUGGCACGCACAAAACAAACAUAGCAAUCUGUUUAUUAAUUUUAAGCCCAUAAGGUAUAAGCCACCAUAAGUUUCCUGCAAAUUCAGUCAGAAUGUUGAAUGGGGGAAAAUAGAAAAUACCGGGGGAAAAAGAAUGAAAUUAAUUUUGGCAUCAAGUUAUCCAGCACUUUGGGCAUGAAACUUUUAACUUCCCAACAGCAUAAGGUUACAGAGAGAUUCUCAUUUAUGCUAAGGUCACUUCACACAGUCAAAGCAGUGGCCAAUAUUUAAAUGAAAAUUAGUCUCAAGGGAUUUCGGCUGUAUUUCACCAGUUAACUCAAGCCCAGGUAGGUACUGCCUAGAAGUCAUUAGCAUCUGAUGCUCUUUAUGAAUCUAAGGGUAGUUCCCAGUGGAUCAGAGCUCAUAUCUAAGCAAUUUAAGUUUGCGUCUCAUACAUCACCAUGGUUCCUGAGUGCCUGAGAAGUUAAAAUGUAUCUUUAUGAAACAUCUUACAUGUCUUUCUUUUUUUUUCUCCCCCGCACAGAGGCUUGAGGUCUCUUUAACUAAUGCUGGGUAAAUUGUUUUAUAUACUUAAUGCCUGUAAUUUGUUUUGGUGGUGAGGGUGGCAGGUCAGGGUCAUUCUGAGGUACUCUGAAAGCAAAUGCCACACUCCUGCAGCAGAUACCGUAAAAGCUGCAUCUUCAAUGUCUCCAUGCAAAUAAUACAACUAUCACAGUGGUGGUGAUUUUAGGAGAUGUAGCUUUAAUU
Long non-coding RNA from Oxyura jamaicensis (ruddy duck), 7357 nucleotides. RefSeq lists it as uncharacterized. Lineage: Eukaryota; Metazoa; Chordata; Aves; Anseriformes; Anatidae. The transcript has 2 exons. The record is from RefSeq and is a predicted model, not a curated record.